This 2792-nucleotide ribosomal RNA is filed under the name Glaesserella parasuis. Its description in RNAcentral is "partial 23S ribosomal RNA". It matches the Rfam family "Bacterial large subunit ribosomal RNA". Lineage: Bacteria; Pseudomonadati; Pseudomonadota; Gammaproteobacteria; Pasteurellales; Pasteurellaceae. The record is from RNAcentral.
AGUUAAGUGACUAAGCGUACACGGUGGAUGCCUAGGCAAUCAGAGGCGAAGAAGGACGUGCUAAUCUGCGAAAAGCUUGGAUGAGUUGAUAAGAAGCGUUUAAUCCAAGAUAUCCGAAUGGGGAAACCCGAUGGAUGAAGAAUCCAUCAUUUCAUUAUGAAUCCAUAGUAAUGAAAGGCAAACCGGGAGAACUGAAACAUCUAAGUACCCCGAGGAAAAGAAAUCAAUCGAGAUUUUGUAAGUAGCGGCGAGCGAAAGCGAAAGAGCCAGUGAGUGAUAGCAGCAAAGACAGAAGAAUUGGCUGGGAAGCCAAGCGACACAGGGUGAUAGCCCCGUAUUCGAAGUUUUUGUUGUGGUACUAAGCUUGCAACAAGUAGGGCGGGACACGAGAAAUCCUGUUUGAAGAUGGGGGGACCAUCCUCCAAGGCUAAAUACUCCUGAUUGACCGAUAGUGAACCAGUACUGUGAAGGAAAGGCGAAAAGAACCCCAGUGAGGGGAGUGAAAUAGAACCUGAAACCGUGUACGUACAAGCAGUGGGAGCCCUUUGGGGUGACUGCGUACCUUUUGUAUAAUGGGUCAGCGACUUAUAUUUUGUAGCGAGGUUAACUGAAUAAGGGAGCCGAAGGGAAACCGAGUCUUAACUGGGCGGAUAGUUGCAAGGUAUAGACCCGAAACCCGGUGAUCUAGCCAUGGGCAGGUUGAAGGUUGGGUAACACUAACUGGAGGACCGAACCGACUAAUGUUGAAAAAUUAGCGGAUGACUUGUGGCUGGGGGUGAAAGGCCAAUCAAACCGGGAGAUAGCUGGUUCUCCCCGAAAUCUAUUUAGGUAGAGCCUUAUGUGAAUACCUUCGGGGGUAGAGCACUGUUUCGGCUAGGGGUCCAUCCCGGAUUACCAACCCGAUGCAAACUGCGAAUACCGAAGAGUAAUGCAUAGGAGACACACGGUGGGUGCUAACGUCCAUCGUGGAGAGGGAAACAACCCAGACCGCCAGCUAAGGUCCCAAAGUCUAUAUUAAGUGGGAAACGAAGUGGGAAGGCUUAGACAGCUAGGAUGUUGGCUUAGAAGCAGCCAUCAUUUAAAGAAAGCGUAAUAGCUCACUAGUCGAGUCGGCCUGCGCGGAAGAUGUAACGGGGCUAAAAUAUAGCACCGAAGCUGCGGCAUCAGACGUAUCACUAAUACGCCUUACGAUUAACAACAUCGAAUGAAGUGAAACGGAAAGAGAUGUUGGUCAAGCAACCCGAACGUUGAGUCGGAAAGUAAUCGAAGAGAGGAUUAUUAGUGAUACGUCUGUUGGGUAGGGGAGCGUUGUGUAAGCGGAUGAAGGUGAAUCGAGAGGUUUGCUGGACGUAUCACAAGUGCGAAUGCUGACAUAAGUAACGAUAAAACGAGUGAAAAACUCGUUCGCCGGAAGACCAAGGGUUCCUGUCCAACGUUAAUCGGGGCAGGGUGAGUCGGCCCCUAAGGCGAGGCUGAAAAGCGUAGUCGAUGGGAAACGGGUUAAUAUUCCCGUACUUGGUNNNNNNNNNNNNNNNNNNNNNNNNNNNNNNNNNNNNNNNNNNNNNNNNNNNNNNNNNNNNNNNNNNNNNNNNNNNNNNNNNNNNNNNNNNNNNNAAGAUAAACCGUACUGAAAACCGACACAGGUGGUCAGGUAGAGAAUACUCAGGCGCUUGAGAGAACUCGGGUGAAGGAACUAGGCAAAAUAGCACCGUAACUUCGGGAGAAGGUGCGCUGGCGUAGGUUGUAGGAGUAUACCUCCGAAGGCUGAACCAGUCGAAGAUACCAGCUGGCUGCAACUGUUUAUUAAAAACACAGCACUCUGCAAACACGAAAGUGGACGUAUAGGGUGUGAUGCCUGCCCGGUGCUGGAAGGUUAAUUGAUGGUGUUAUCGAAAGAGAAGCUCCUGAUCGAAGCCCCAGUAAACGGCGGCCGUAACUAUAACGGUCCUAAGGUAGCGAAAUUCCUUGUCGGGUAAGUUCCGACCUGCACGAAUGGCAUAAUGAUGGCCAGGCUGUCUCCACCCGAGACUCAGUGAAAUUGAAAUCGCCGUGAAGAUGCGGUGUACCCGCGGCUAGACGGAAAGACCCCGUGAACCUUUACUAUAGCUUGACACUGAACAUUGAAUUUUGAUGUGUAGGAUAGGUGGGAGCCUAAGAAGCAGUCACGCCAGUGAUUGUGGAGGCGUCCUUGAAAUACCACCCUUUAACGUUUGAUGUUCUAACGAAGAUUGCGAAACGCGGUCUCGGACAGUGUCUGGUGGGUAGUUUGACUGGGGCGGUCUCCUCCCAAAGAGUAACGGAGGAGCACGAAGGUUUGCUAAUCACGGUCGGACAUCGUGAGGUUAGUGCAAUGGUAUAAGCAAGCUUAACUGCGAGACAGACAAGUCGAGCAGGUGCGAAAGCAGGUCAUAGUGAUCCGGUGGUUCUGAAUGGAAGGGCCAUCGCUCAACGGAUAAAAGGUACUCCGGGGAUAACAGGCUGAUACCGCCCAAGAGUUCAUAUCGACGGCGGUGUUUGGCACCUCGAUGUCGGCUCAUCACAUCCUGGGGCUGAAGUAGGUCCCAAGGGUAUGGCUGUUCGCCAUUUAAAGUGGUACGCGAGCUGGGUUUAGAACGUCGUGAGACAGUUCGGUCCCUAUCUGCCGUGGGCGUUGGAGAAUUGAGAGGGGCUGCUCCUAGUACGAGAGGACCGGAGUGGACGCAUCACUGGUGUACCAGUUGUCUCGCCAGAGGCACUGCUGGGUAGCUAAAUGCGGAAGAGAUAAGUGCUGAAAGCAUCUAAGCACGAAACUC